This 497-nucleotide ribosomal RNA is filed under the name uncultured bacterium. Its description in RNAcentral is "partial 16S ribosomal RNA". It matches the Rfam family "Bacterial small subunit ribosomal RNA", at positions 28 to 507 of the family's 1533-position model. The record is from RNAcentral.
GAUGAACGCUGGCGGCGUGCCUAAUACAUGCAAGUCGAGCGAACGGACGAGAAGCUUGCUUUUCUGUUGUUAGCGGCGGACGGGUGAGUAACACGUGGAUCACCUACCUAUCAGACUGGGAUAACUUCGGGAAACCGGAGCUAAUACCGGAUAAUCUUUUGAUCCGCAUGGUUCAUAAGUGAAAGACGGUCUUGCUGUCACUUCUAGAUGGAUACCCGCUGUUUUAGCUAGUUGGUAAGGUAACGGCUUACCACGGCAACUAUGCAUAGCCGACCUGGGAGGGGGGUCGGCCACACUGGAACUGAGACAGGGACCAGGCUCCUACGGGAGGCAGCAGAAGGGAAUGUGCCGCAAUGGGCGAGAGUAUUGCGGAGCAACGCCACGUGAGUUAUAGAGGUCUUCGGAUCGUAAAACUCUGUUAUGAGUGAAGAACAUAUUUGUAAUGAAAUGUGCACAUCUUGACGGUACCUAAUCAGAAAGCCACGGCUAACUACGUG